This 409-nucleotide long non-coding RNA is filed under the name Sinocyclocheilus grahami. RNAcentral describes it as "lncRNA (ENSSGRG00000041059.1)". Lineage: Eukaryota; Metazoa; Chordata; Actinopteri; Cypriniformes; Cyprinidae. The record is from RNAcentral.
GGACACUAAAGAGAAGACCUGUACGGUGGUGGUGGCAUUAAUGCAGAAGGACAGAAGAAAAGAGCGCUGCUCAGGUGCCAUCCUACACAACAUUGGCUUCGCCAUCUAUGAGGUUCCUAAUGAGGUAUGACUACAUCAUGAAGAGACCGCAGUGAUGACAUCAUAUAUGAAGGGCAACCAACAACAGCUGCCAAAGGACUUCUUCAUUUAUAAUGCUUCUACAGCUCGCUGCAAGUCCUAUGCCAACAUGCGUGAGGUAACGGAGCGUUUUUGCUUGAAACCGGGCGAGUAUGUCAUUAUCCCAUCCACCUUUGAUCCCCACAAGGAGAGCGAGUUUCUGCUCCGAGUCUUCUCUGAGAACAGGAGCACCUCAGAGUGAGUCUUAAAGCCACAACAGAACUGUUGUGUG